This 3321-nucleotide long non-coding RNA is filed under the name Solanum tuberosum (potato). Its description in RNAcentral is "long non-coding RNA (STUB_LNC002883)". The record is from RNAcentral. Lineage: Eukaryota; Viridiplantae; Streptophyta; Magnoliopsida; Solanales; Solanaceae.
CAGAAACGACCCCACCCCGUAUGUUCUUCUUCUUUCUCUUUCACGCAGAAACGCGACCCAACUCGCGAAACCCAGCCAGAACGUGACCCGAAUCCAGCGAGCCCAAGCAGCGCGACGUCAAAAUACACGACGUCUUCACAGCCAGCAGACGGAUUCCUCCAACGUUCACAAGCAGACGGAAAGCGAUUCACGGCGUCUAUGUACACGUAACAGCUUUAUUCUCGUCGUCUUCUUCACCCAGUACGAUGGUACUGUUCCAGUCGCGAUUCCAGCGAAAAGCACCUGCAACAGUCGCAUUUUCGUCCUUUUCCAGCUUAAGAUAGAGACACGUCGACGCUCAAGGACAUUGGAAUCAUCCUAGACGUCCACCUCGCCCUUCCUCUUUUUGAAAUCUUUUGGAUUUGAGCGAAAAUAACUCUCCCCUGUUUGAGGAUAAGAGGAGAAUUUUGAAUUUUUGAAUUCGUUCCUUGGUUCUUACCCGUUUUACCCUCAUCGUUUCCCCUCUAUUACGAACCCUAAUUUCCCCUAUAUAAACCUCCUCCUUAUUCAUUAUUAGGGGAGAUUUUUUGAGCAAAAAAUAUUUUGGAACAACUUAAGCAAAAACAAUAAAAAUACGUACUAAGCACAUUUGAAACAGAGGAGAGAUCAAUGCAAUUAUAGUGUGGUUUCCUUGCUCAUCCAUAGGAGUCUUUAUAGUCUCGUUUUGGUGGUAGAGGUUGUCUUUGUCAAACUCGUCCAUCCAGUUCGCUACCUAGAACCAAGUAAUCUUCUUGCUCUUUCUUUAAUCCUUUCUUCCUGUUGCAUUGCAGAAUUGUUGUUUGUUUUAGUAUUAAUUAUUUUUUAGAUUCAAUGUGAUUAGUGUGAUGGUUAUGUAAACGACAACAAAAGUUUAUUAUUCAAUGUUAAAUGAGUUUAUUAAAUAUUUUGCUCUACUGAUGGGUUUUUUUUUCUUUUUGUAGUUCGAGAUGUGAAUUUGGUUCUUUUACUUAGUCGAGUUCAUAAAUCUUUAUAGGCGUUUCUAGUUACUAUUAUUUUCAUUCGACUUCGAAAUCCAUGUUAUGUAGUUGUUGAUUUCUCUUCAUUGCUUUCUUUAGAUACAUAUGUUUAGAGUUCUAAGUUGUGCACUUCAUUGCUUCAAGUUUGUUUGGACCGAGUGUUAUGUUGAGCUUUGUUGUUCCCAAAUUAUUAGUUUUUUAGCUAAUCUCUAGUAUAGUUGAAUCAAUCGAGUUAUUGUUGCUCCAUCUAGCAUUUCUUCAUUAUCAUAUGCUGUUUUGUUAAAAUUUCAGAUUCAACACAGUUUGAUUAUUUUCUUAUGGUUAAAAGUUGUCCUAGCUCAGGCUGAGCUUUUCCCUUUCUUUUGUCUAUUUAACAAUCUAUUUGUUAUCUCUGAUUUGAAAUGAAUAUACACUAGUCUUGUGAUCAUCUGGUUUAAAUGUGUAACUUCCUGAAACCUGCUAGACCUAGCUAAACAUUGUGCCUCUAGUCUUGACAAAUUCUUAAGUUCCCAUCCCUAGAAAUUUGCUGUAUAUAGACUAGGAUGAAUCAUGUAGUUAGAGAAGGCUAUUGGUGUUGCUCAUCUAAGCUUAAGUUCUUUUUCUUGAGACUUUUUCCUUUUCGUGAAAUAUGAACUUGCCUAUGAUUAAUAGCAAAUUUUAUUUAUUUGAUUUUGCAUUACAUCUGAUUAGACUGAAAAAAGCCUAAAAAAUGCACCAUCCUUGCUAGCUCGACUGUCAUGUUUGUGUUGAAAAUAGCUUACCUUUGGGGUUGCUCUUUAGCAUUCUCCAAAGAGCUAGGCUUGGAUGACUGAAAGCUUAUAUCGCGGCUCUUUUGCAUCCUAAAGUAUAUUGAUUUACCAUCCUCAGACCCCUGCUUGAAUUUGAGUACAGAUUUUCUUGGAUUUACAUUUAAAUGCUACAUGAUAGUAUCAUCUUAUUUUCUGCUCUCUGUUUGUCCCGAGGCUGGUUUUAAAGGUUCAACUUAGGUAUGUAUUAAGUGUUGGUCUGCUUACUUGAGUAGUUUGAUUCUAUUAGGGGUUGAAUUUUAAAUAUUCGUUAUGAAGUUUAACUUGAGACAUAGAGCCUCGUUCACAACAAGUUUAGCAUGCGUUGUUUUCCAUUUUUUAUUGAUCAAUUGCUUAUUGUUUCCACUGCUUUGUUUAGCUUUGUUAGCUAUUUUAAAUUUAAUCAAUUUCUCUGUUUUUCCUCUCUUAUUUGAAUUUCUUGGGUCCCUUUGCACAUGUUUAGUUCUAGAUUUCUCAUAGAACCUCUGAUUGUAUAAGUUUUAGUUGGAUCUUUUGAGUUUGGUUUACAUUAGGAGUGGAUUUUUGGCUCCAAAGAUAUUGUUCCAAAGUAGUGUUUUGUUAUUGUUUGUCCAAUGCCUUUCUGUACAUCAGUGGCUAAGCUAAAUAUAAUUGAAUUAUGACUCCUCUGUUUGUUUUAGCUUAUUUUUUUAAAAAAUCUCUCGCACUAAGUGCUUAAUUAUUUUUUUUUAGUUGUUGAUCAUGCAUGUUCCUUAUUUUGGUUAUUAGUAGAAGGUCUACUCUUAAGAUGGUAGUUAGAUGUUGAUAGAUUCUAAUUUUUUUUUCCUGUAAUGCUAAGUUAGCAGCUUAGCUUAAUUUUUUGUUUUAUUGUAUUAUUAUUAUUAUUAUUAUUAUUUUAUGUUAGUUCUAACGUUACUUCCUUUCCUUUCUUCGCAUGUGACAUUCGAGUCCAAUGGACUCCCCCCUUCUUGCAUACUCCUCUCUUUUGAGUCAACCUCAUCCGAGACGUGAAAGAGAAGCUAAUAUUAAUGGGUUAAAACCCAAACCACUGGCAGCAGCUCAAAUAGCAGAGUUAUAACACUCCCAAAAGCUGAAAAUUGGCAAAAUUUGGACUUAAAAGAAUCCAAUUUAAUCGAAGUAGUAGCAGCAGUCCCCAAAGGGACUAAAUUGAGAAUUCUUGGACUUUAACAAGUCCAAUUUCCACGGCAGCAGCAAGGAGCAUGAUAGGCCGAGGGCCUAAUUUCUCGUUAUUUAUUUUGUCAUAUUGUUUCGUGUUCUUAUUAUAUUUUGGAAAUGCUAACAUUUUCUCCUUUUUGUUAACUUAGAUGAAUCCUUGGGGAAGAUUUCUAUUUUGUUACUCAUUUUAAACUUCUAUUUUGUCACUCAUUUUUUUUAAGUAUUUAAAUUUUCAAAACCCCUUUUAUUUAAGGCAAAUUUAAAGCUCUUAGACUAUCUUGAGAAUUAUCCGUAUUCUUUCAUAGUUAGUAAUUUGCUUUGAAUCCACGUUAAUGAGAUUGAGCUAACCAUUUAGUUCAAAAUCUAUAACUUGGAUAAAUUAUCAA